GCCAGCCUGGCAUAGUGGUUUGAGUGUUGGACUGCGACUCUGCAGACCAGGGUUCGAAUCCCCAUUUGGAUA
RNAcentral lists this transfer RNA (72 nucleotides) under Phrynosoma platyrhinos (Desert horned lizard). Its description in RNAcentral is "tRNA-OTHER". The record is from RNAcentral. Lineage: Eukaryota; Metazoa; Chordata; Lepidosauria; Squamata; Phrynosomatidae.